CCUACGGGUGGCUGCAGUGAGGAAUAUUGGUCAAUGGGCGGAAGCCUGAACCAGCCAAGUAGCGUGCAGGAUGACGGCCCUACGGGUUGUAAACUGCUUUUAUACGGGAAUAACGCGCCUUACGUGUAGGGCUUUGCAUGUACCGUAUGAAUAAGGACCGGCUAAUUCCGUGCCAGCAGCCGCGGUAAUACGGAAGGUCCGGGCGUUAUCCGGAUUUAUUGGGGUGAAAGGGAGCGUAGGCGGCAUGUCAAGCGUGCUGUGAAAUGUCCGGGCUCAACCCGGGCCUUGCAGCGCGAACGGGCGGGCUUGAGUCUGCGGAAGGCAGGCGGAAUUCGAGGUGUAGCGGUGAAAUGCUUAGAUAUGACGAAGAACCCCGAUUGCGAAGGCAGCUUGCUGCAGCGGAACUGACGCUGAUGCGCGAAAGCGCGGGGAUCGAACAGGAUUAGAUACCCUGGUAGUC
Molecule: ribosomal RNA, 460 nt
Filed under: uncultured bacterium
Lineage: Bacteria
Description: partial 16S ribosomal RNA
Rfam family: Bacterial small subunit ribosomal RNA
Source: RNAcentral